CAGACCCUUUUUUGCCUUCGGCCUUUCGCCAAAAAGUCGUGCGUGACAUGUUUGCGACGAAGGAGGUCUCGGAGGUCACCAAGCGCUUGAUGGGUGGGUGAUGAUAGCGCCACAAAGGAAUUAUACCAAAUUAACAUAGACGAAAUGCACGGGGUAAUGAAAAGGUUGUGGCACUGGCUAUAUCCUUGCACGUCGCACGUCUGUGUGCCCCCAAACCAGUUUCGUUGGCCUCCAAACCCCGCCAUGGUCAUCUCGUGCUUCCCGCAUGACCCAUAAUACGUUGCGAGCCCCACGAUUUGACAAGCGCGGCCAUGGGCAGCUGCAUGCUGUGGUCGAAGAAAGUUUACUGAAGUGGAUUUUAUUUUUGCCUCUGUCGCAUCCUGCACGACACGUCCUUCUGAUUUUGCCCACAACAGAGGCGCUGGCGGAGGAGAACAGCCUUAGCGCCAUUGUGCAGGUCACUCUGGCAUAUGAAGAGCUGAUGCUGGCGCACAAGAAGGAGGUGCACUGCACGGUCGUCACUGCGCAGGUGGGUCAGCUUGACGGCUUGAUGCUGUCGAUGCAAGGGGCAGUCUGGUGGACACAUGGAUUGGUGGCUUUUCGUCCGAGAGUCUCACAAUAAGCAGAAAUGUCAUGUUGGGCUAUGUGAUCCUUUUUACGCGCCCUGGCCACCUCCGACCAGCUCAAGGUCGCAGGCCGCGACAAGUAAGGGUUCGGUUCAGGUGUUUCGCAUUGAAGCGCAUUCGCAUUGAAGCGCAUUCAAGAGCAGUAGCUAGGGAGCAGCCUGACGGACGUGGGGGCAGCGACGAGCGCCUCCCAAGGCGGUAAUGCAGCCGGAACUAAUCCUUGGCUUCCUUCAUGCUGGGCUGUUUCUGUGGCGGCGGCAGCAGCGGCGUCUGGAGGAGGGGUAAUGGUAGUUUGGGACUCACGGCAGUGCCCUGGCGUCAAGCCCUAGAAAGUACCCCAGACUGUACAUGGCGAACGGUACGAGUAUUUUUUUACCAAGGGAGGAGCAUCACCAGCAGCCGUACCUCAUCUUCAAUCAGCAGCAGCAGGUCAGCAAGCAGCUGUUGUUGUAGCAAGGGAACGCUGGUGGCUCUGGUGGCACAUGGGGAGCUUGCCACAGUCACGGGCAGCGGAGCUGUGUCUGCUGAUAGCGCCGCUUUGGGUUCUUCCCUGAUGGUCUACCUGCGUAAUGGCCCAGACCUAAUGUCUCGCAUAUGUAUGUAAGGGUUGUCGAGUGCCCGCACUCGUAAAUUGGAGGGAAGCACAGGAUCAUUGGGAUCAAGACUACAAAUGGUGGUGUGGCAGAAUCCUUUUUUAUGUAUGGUGGAUCAAGGCUCGUCCGUCAUCCUGCCGUCGCACUGCCUGUUCUGUAUUUGUGGCAUUCUUUUCGCCCAAGUUUGUUGCAUUGGGUCGUGGACAGCAUGCAGUUCCUAGAGUUGGGAACCAGUUACGUAUCUUUCUUCAACACGGGUGGUAGCUUCAAGGCAGCUCAAGUGACGCACCUUUAGCUGACGUGUCCACUCCAUUCAGUGGUCUCGGAGCACGGCAGCGUGGCGAACUUUUGGACCGUUUGCUUUCUAGUAUUCAGUUGGGGAGAGGUUGAGUAGCACGUCUUGAGCGCGCGUGCGCCUCAGCGCGCAGUGAAGCAUGGUCCCAGCCGUCGCCUGCCAGCUGAGGCUCCAUUGCCGCUUCAUCUGAGCGCAUGUCGCUGAAGAAGCUUUGGCGGACAAUUGCAGCUCAUGGUGCAACUCCCUGGUGGUGGACGUCGCCUUUGCACACGCAUCCAAUGAGCCUGGCCGCCUGACCCUGAUAUAAGCUGCUGGUGCCCUAUUCCCACUGCGCUGGCAUGCGCCUGCUUAACCUGCUUAAACCAGACUCGUCAAUUAUUUCGAUUUGUCCCCGCACUCCCGCAGCCUCUGGACGACGCCGAGCGUGCGGUGUUCACCAAGCAAGCCCAGGCCUUUGUUGAGCCCGGCUUCAAGUUGGUCAUGAAAGAGAAGGUAAGACGCGGUGGUUUUGAGCGCGUGGGGAUGUAACGGAGGGGGACGCAGAUUCUGCGUGGUGAGGAACUGUAAGAGUGGUUGGCGUGUGAAUGACGGUGCGUGCAACGCACUAUAAGCCGCUUGUGCCAUUGCGCUAGCGGAUGUUCCUGGGCGGACGGCAGAGUCGCCCUAAUGCUUGGGAAUUGGCGCCUAGCGCACAGGAACUCGCCUGCAGUACGCUGUUGCGGGUGUUCCCGGGCGCCUUCUUAACACGCAGGGCAGUCGUCCACAGCCAGAUUCAGCUGACAGCGUCCAGGCAGAGGUAUCUAGGGAUUGGGGGGGGGCACGUGAGGCAACAGCAGCAGCGGGAGGCAUUUUGUGGGGAAAUGAGGCAACCGACGGACUACCACACUAGAUGCUGUGGGGCUGUAGCAUCAACCCCAAGAUGCAACCGAUCUGCACCAAGUUUUUCUCGGAACAGACACUGGUGUUCAAAACCCUAAGACCGGUCUUUGGUUGCGAGCAGCUCCCCGAAGACUGGGCGACUGAGCAUACGACUUGUGCAGCUGGUAUGCAAUGCGCUGAGGGACGGAUUUCGCAAGAUGAGCGCUGUCCAUAAUUUCCAUUUUAUUAAAUUAGGAAGCCCAAGGGUUGAAGGGUUGCUUCGGCGCAACCUGAGAGGUUUUGUCGUCAAAACAAGGUGGCGAGUAGCUCCAGAGAUACGUGUUGUACAGUAUAUGGAGUAUUUGGCCUACCACCAGCUAGUCCAACAAACGUACUCUCAACGAAGACGAAGCGCGAAACCUAGUUCUAGUUCAAGUCCGUCUCUGGCCAGUGUUUAUUCCCCCACAGCUGCGUCUUAUGACGCAUCGGGGUAUGCAGCCAGAUUAGCGUUCGUGUUUGAUUGUUACUGCUAGCACCUCACCUCGUUAUUUCCCCCUUCCUGUCGCACUGGUCCUACAUGUUUUGACAUAUGUGUGUACCGCGUUCGUGAGGCUAUUGCACACGAGUUCCGUUGGAUUGUCCGCUCCCGCCUUGGCGGACCCGCUUGCUGAAUGUUGAAGGGCCGUGAGAGCGCGAAUUACCUUCUCAUACGGGCUUUUGUUCCACGUAUGGGCGUUACAACUUACAGACUUUCAACCUUUACCCAAGCUUGCCCAACUGCUGUGUCGCACUUUCAUAGGUGGACCGCAAGCUGCUGGGUGGCUUUGUCCUGGAGUUUGAGGACCGCCUUGUGGACAUGAGCAAGGCCAAGAAGCUGGAGGAGUUCAACAACCUCGUCACCAAGCUGGAGAACGACCUCAAGUGAUGUCCUUGAGAACCUCACACGCGGCAUGGAUGUGUGACGUGAAGGAGGCGCACGGAAGGGUUCUUUCAACUUCCUGGCUGCUCUCUCUUUACGCGUCGGCAGGUAUCGGAUCAUUUCCAGGGUUGCGGCUCGGUGGUUGUGCUGCUGCCCAAUGCACAGUCCAUGAGGAAGCGCGUGCGCUAGUGCAUGGAGUGUUUCUUUAUCCUUAGCGGAAUUAGUUUGGAUUUUUGCAUCGUCAAUGGCGCCUUGCACGGUAACACGGAAGCGUGCGGGUUGCAAGGAGGCGUCAAGAUACUGAGGUCGGAUUAGCGGUGCAGGUUCACACCUCCGUUGAACCUUCGAUGCUUUGCCCGCGCUUUGCCUGUUGCCUUGCUUGGGCGUUGCUGGAAUUUGCCAUGACAUUAAGGCUGCCUGCUCGCAUGGCCUCUGUAAUGUUUGAAAGGGCAUAGCUGAGGAGCCGGCUGGGUUGGUGGUGCUCGCUCCGCCUGUGGCUAACGCGGUGUGCUGUUUUAUUCCUAAUGCCCGGAAAUGCAUUCGUUUGGCUUCCGUUGCUUGCUGUCCUGCGUAUAGAUAUGCGCUGGCAGCUGUAAAGGGAGGGUUCCUUCACACCUAAUGGAAAGCGCGGCAUGCAGCAUUUCGGUGAAGAGAGUCCCAUUCAAUCGAUUCUGCAGGAAUCUAUCGGUGGAAGUUUUGCCCAUUUUAGCCGCAUGGGCUACCAGUCCGCACUACUCCGUACGUCCGUACUUCGUCCGCAGUGACGAAGGCGUGUGUGACCCGUUAAUGCAGCCCAUCAUCCUCACUCCACGAAGCCUGAGAUUGGACAGAAGUACAUCGCAGUGGAUCCGGCUGGAUGGCAAUUCUCGCGAGUCCCUCCUCUCCGCGAGUUUCAAACGUUCCGCCGAGCAUCUGUUGGACCAGACUUGCUUUACGUUGCAAAUGUUUUGGGGCGAACCCCAAAAGAAGGAGAACAAAUGUGUGGCCUGACAUGCGGGUGUCGAGGACAACUGUGUUUUUCACACACGUUGAGAGCCCACGUAAAAGGAGGGGAGGCUGCACGGUUAAAGCGAAUCUGGGUGAGGUGUGGACGUGAUAUCCGCUGAUGUCGCUGAGCACCAAAGGACAUGGCCGAGGGAUGAAAAUCUGAUUGUGCAGCUAGGUAUAUGGUUGCGGGGACCCGGACAGCCGACUUGGGGUACCUGGAAUGCCUCUUGUAGACAUGCUUGCAUACGUACAGGAGUGCCCAUACGCACGGAAUGCCCCCGUGCCGUUCACCCAGGUGGACUGCACUGCGCUGCCCCCCUGCUCGCUGUGCGAGUAGUAUUAUUGGCCGCUGGGUUAAAGCCGCUUCGACUCAUGUGUUUUGUUAUCGGCAGGUGUAAGUAACAGCGAUAGGACACGCCGUUACUCAGCGGCAUCGUAAGCCGUUGUGAGAAUGCUAUUUGUUACAGCCGACCCCGAACGGGUCGAGUGCAGCGCCCCAAGGAACGCCUCCCGCACAACACUGUGGGCCUUAUUCACAAAGAACUUGGCCAGACCGUACUAACUUCACUGGACACAAAACCUCAGUUGUUGUUGUUACAUGGUCGUGGGUGCGUUCCCCGUACCUGCAAAGCACCCAAAUACGAGCCGAGGGCUCAAGGGCUGCCAGAUCGCCUAUAAGCACCAUCCUACCUCGCACUUCAAACGAAACGAGUGAUAAAGGAGACUAUCGACCAAAGGGAACGAUAGAGUUGCGGUGGGGACCAUAUACGUUCCAGCAUCCUUGCCAGGCGUUCAGGUUCCCACUUCAUAGCGUCCUUCAUGUGCUCGAAGCGUGGGAAAUCCAUAUCAGAUCUGAUUUUGUCGUACACCGGAGAGUCCAGCAAGAUGUGCUUCUCAUCCUCGAUAUGACUAUCAGUGCCGCAGCAAGGACAUACUCUAGGUAUAUAAAGCCGUCCCUUACGCGCUCCGUUAGCCGCCAAUGCCCAACAGCAAAGCCUAAACUGCAUAAGCUUGCGAUUCGCUGAACGCGGGAUAAACAUUGUGACAUGCGGGAGCACCUCCUUCCUGCCCGCUUGUUCGGCCGCCAGACCCAUCCAAUGCUUAUACUUCGCCAUGUGAAUUCCUGGUUGCUUGCCGUCUGACGGGUACACGUCUGGCUGACAUCUAAACGCGUAUGCUUCCAACCACUCACUAAUCGGUCCUCGAACUCCCAAACCACACCUUCACACUAUUCAUCAGCCACUCCACUCGUUCGUCUACCUCGUGUAGCCCUUGCGGGGCCUCUUUCCAUACGUCGUGCCCAUAUAAACAUAGAAAACGGAGGAGUAGUGUCCCCCAUCCGGCCCUUCGGGGUUGGAGAGGGACUCUGCGACCUCCUGUCGCAAAACUUGGUGUGCCACAGACCCACGCUGUAAACGGACAUGAUUCCAAAACCUCACAACCUGCUUGAAAACGUGGUAGUGUUGGGGUAGCUGCGACAGCUCUGCAAACAGGAGGCGGUGUGUUGGUCUGGCAGCUCCUACAAUUUGUCGCACGAAAGAUAUCUGAAGCUGCACCGCUCUGUCCUUUAGGCAUGCCUCGAAGGGCCCCUCCGCAAGGUUACUCGCAUCACUCCGCCUCCUGAGCCUGUCCAAGACCUCAGCUAGCAUAAACGGCCCCCACGCUUGACAACCAUACAACAGUAUUGCUCGUACCUGGGUAUCGAAACACCUCAUCCUCACAUCUGGUGCGAACAACUUUAGCUUAUCUAAUUUUGCACUCAACGCGAACAUAGCUGCCCUAGCUGUGUCAUACAACUGCUGCCCUAUGCAUAGGAAAGGCAGGGAAGCCAUCAAGGGCUAGCCUCAAAGGGCUUUUUUGGGCGAGGCCCCGGGCGCGAAGGUCCUAAUGCCAUGUGCGCGUUAGCUGCCGCCGCCUGAGUUAUCAUGAAUGGCCAACUUGCGGUGGCUCCUUCAGAACUUGAGGGCGAGGAGAUUGAGCUUGGCCAGGCUGUUCAGCCAUCUGAAGAUCAGGAACGUCAAGGGGAGGUUGUUGACCAGCCGCCGAUGGUUAUGACGAUUCGCGCCACUCAGGCUUUGGGGCAUUUGGCUUCUCUGCCUGGCGCUAUCUCUGAGUUUUCCAGCUCUCUUCCAACGUUUCAAGCAGAUGUGCGUGCCGGAUACGCUUCUAAUCCUUGUUUUGCUAACCAUUCCAAUCUCGCUACUCUUACUCAGCGUGAUGGGUUCUGGUUUCGUGAGCACGCUUUGGUGAUUCCUGAUGCGAAAGACCUCCGUCUUUCGAUCCUUCGACUUUGCCAUGAUCAUCCCAUGGCUGGUCAUUUCGGUGUUACUAAAACGUUAUUUAGACUUAGUCCGACGCCAUUACUGAGACCCCUCCUCUUGAAGGUAAGGUAAAGGAAGACUCCUCCUAAUAACGGAUAACCCCCGUCUUCACGCCAUUUACCAACCCACUAACCUGUGUUGAGAUUACCCCUGCGAGCCCGCUGACCUCAUUCCCCAUUUCCCCGCCUCCAUUGGUCUCCCCCACCAAGCUCUCCGCCGCAUAAGGCCAGCCAAAAGCAAGCAAAAGGCAACCAUUUUUCGAACUCCCACCAAAAUCACCCCCCACUUCACCCCUCCGCCCCCAGCCCCAGGCUCUUGGGCCGUAUGAAGGCGCGCAGCGGCUCCGCUCUGCCUUGUCGAUCGCGACCCAGUCCGUCUCCGGCUGACCAGCCCAUGCGAGCCAUCAGUCGGGAGCCGAUGCCUGAAGAGGGGGAGGAAGCGGGAGGAAAGAAGAGUCAUCUGCAAAUGGCGGGAUGGAGAAGAGUGGCAGGGGAAACGGGAUGACAGCACCCCAACCCAACCCAACCCGGGGAAGGGAGGCCCUCUCACGCUCACCCACGCGCUUCGCGUUCUUCGCGAACACGCUCGCCCACCUGUUGGCAUUUUACUUGCCGCGCCUCACCUCACCUCACCUCACUCCCCGUCGCCCACCUCGUCUUGCCCAGCGCGAUUUUAACAGUAUCAUUCAAUCCCCUCAAGGCCGCAUUGGCCCCCCCAUCUCUCCCCUUUCCGUGGCCCCUUUUUUCCCUCCACCGCUCCCCUCCACCGCUCCCCAACCACGCCACCCGGCCAUUAUCUCCUGGGCCCCCUGCCACGCGCCAACGGCUCACCAGUGCCAUGACGCUCGAAGGAAGCAUACUCGUAGCUGAGGGAGGCAGGGCAGGCCGUUUCCAUUCCAGGGCUGUCGCCCACAGGAAGGAACGACUCAGGAGUACCCUGCUGUGGCGACUGUUCGUGCUCCUGCGGGUAGUGCUGCUGCUGGCGCUGCUGCCGGCGCGCCUCCUUGGCUGCCUUUCUAGCGAUUGCCUUGGCCUGGGGGUUGUAAGGGUCCUAGGGGGCUUAAGGGUUUUAUGAUUUAAGAGAGGCGACGAAUAGGAAGGGGAACGAAGUUAAACUAGGUGAUGCUGGUAUCGGGUAUCUGAUGGCUGAGAGCUCUCGAAUUUUCGUCAGGAAUACGGGCCUGUUUUCAUUACGUUACGUUUCGUUACUCCUGUAAACCCCCACCACAACCCUCUUGCGGCCGGAACACGAGUUCCUUUCGCCGUACAACCCGUACCUGCUGUGCCGUACGACCCAACUCACUGCCCGCCGCCGCCGCACCCGCCGCCGUGUUCAAAACCACCGCUCUCGACAGCGCGGAAAGCCGCUGAUUCGCGCCGCCACGGCCACUGGCGCCGUGGCUGCUGCUGCUGCUGCUGCCAGCCACCACCGCCCCACCUGUGCCUGCCCUGCCUUUCCUUUGCGGCUUCACUCGGGCCCGCGGUACAGUUUUCCAUUCCCCCUCGUCUGCGACCUGAUCAGGCAACUCCUGAUCAGGCAGGUCCACUUUCCCGCCCAAAUCUGCACCUCCUCCCUCCUCCGCCUCCACGUCCUGCUGCUGCUGCUGCUGCGGCGGCGGCACCUCCAGAGACGCGGUCGUACGGUCACUGUACCGAAAUCCUAAGCCGCGGUGGCCUUUACCGUCGUCACCGACACCGGCGGCGGCGACGGAAGGCGACACCGCCGCUGUUGUUCGCCUGUCAUGCAUCUGUCGAUCCUCGGCAUCGUAACCGGGACCCAGGCGAAAGUGCGCACGAAAGUACGACACGCCACCAGCUUGUACGACAGGCCGUGGGUCCCCGUCACCACCAACACCAGUGUGGGUGCCAGUGCCCAGCGUCGGCUCUGUAACGGGUACGAACGAGGGGGGCCAAGGAGGGACAAUACCGCCGCAAAUACCGACUGUAGCGACAGUAGCAGCAGUAGGCUGACGGUUUCCAUCCUCCUGCUGCUGCUGCUGCUGCUGGCGGCCUCCUACCUCCCCCUGAUCCUCCUGAUCCUCAGUUCGGGACCUGAAGCCCAGGCCACCGAAUGCCUCCGCCAGCCAGUCACGCUGGGCAUCCGUCAUACCGAGGCCCCGGUGUGUCUGCAGCUCCUCUUCCUCCUCUUCCUGCUCACUCUCCUCCCCGUCAGGAGGCUCCUCAUCGUUCUCCUCAUCGUCCUCCUCAGACUCUGAAACAGACCCAUCAUCGCAGACAUUAUGGUAAUUAUCAUCGUCAUCAUUAUCGUCAUCAUUAUCAUCAUCUGCUUCCUCACGCCCAGCUUUCGGUGUCACUACCGGGCGCCGGCGGCGGCGGGUUGUGCCGCCGCCACUGCCGUCGCCGUCGCCGCCACCGCCAGCGCCGUCGUCGUUGUCAUCAUCAUCGUCGUCGUCGUCGUCGUCGUCGUCGUCCUUCUGCUGCUGUUGUCGAAGCAGUUGCUGGUGCUGGUCAGGGUCCUCUUCCCACACACCGCCGCGUACGAACGCCACGGGAUGGCUGUAGCUGCCGCCGGUACGACUCUUUUUCCCGCCGCUACCUGUCGCCGCUGGGGUCCUCCCAGCGCCGCCCCGCCGGCGUGUCGCCGCCACUGAUGCAGGUGUGACAUCCUGAAGCGCCAUCCCCGCCGGGCCGACACCGGCACCGGCGGCAGCGCCACGCUGCUGUCGUACGAGCUCAGCCGCCACUAUCUUGUCCACCUAUUGGCGCGGGGUGUGUGAAGGGGAGAGAGGGGCGAAGGGAAGGGACGGAUAGGUGUGAAUAAGUACCCCCACAAACAAUAUCGUACCCCCACAAGGCAUAACACAGAUAAUUGACUUUUUCUCGGUUCGCCUUGGACGCGCAAAAGCGCUGCAAGUAUAUAGUAGAGGCGCCUUGUAGAAUUGAUUACGCUGAUCUCUUUAGUCAAAGGCGAAAGAGAUGUAAGAAUCGCAGUCAAUUCAGAGCAUCUUCGGCAAUGUAAAACAUGCCUGUCCUACCCAGAACCAAAUUUUGUGGCGCAUUCUCGAGCGCGAUGGUGGGUCGGUGCUCAGUAGCAUCGUUGAAUUUCUAGACAUCUCCCCACUGCCGAACUUUGAACAUCCACAGAUAGUACCACCCAGUUAAACAUGCAAAACUGCCGUACGCUGCCGUACGCCAGCUGCAAAAAUGCCGUACACGCAUGCGCACGCGACCACACCUUAACGCGGGUCGAAUCAUCGUGCGCCUUGGUUCGGUCUGUCGGUUGCAGCAGCAAAAACUUGUGCUUGCGAGCGCCCUGUUAUUUUGAGAGUGAGAGUAAGAAGAGUUUAAGGAGGUUUAAUAUUUAAUUUUAAGAGACGGGCUCAGGAUACUUUCAAUGCAGAGCACAGUGAGGCAAUAGUGGGGAAGCAAAAGUGUGAGAGUAGAAGGACUCAGAGGACGCACAGAAACAGAAACAGAUCGUAGGCUUUGCACAUCCCCUACAUUGGAUAUACAUACAUAUAUACGUGUGUGUGGAACAGGGGGGUCAUAUCUUCACCCUGCGGCAGCUACCCUGCGAAACCCUGCCUUCCCCGGUAUUUUGGGGCACCCUCAUCCAGUCACCCUAGUCAACUUCUCAAUGGAUCGCCCAGGUUCCGCACCCACCACCGGCAUCCAACGGAAUCUGCCGGAUCGACAGCGGCCCAACUCCGUUCCUGUUCGGCUCGCGGGUUAACUUAAUCCCAGGUCACCACCGUCCAUCAAGUAGGGGCACUUUACCAUCCUCCAUCGGAAGGACUUUUGACCCUGAUGGGUAUCGAUCCCGGGAUUACCCGGGGGCAAAGGUCGUGCCUUACCAGUAGUGCCUAAAUAUAGAUAUAUAUACACAUAUACAUACAUAUAGAUAUACAUACAUACACCACCCGAUCCAUGUCGGUUUCAGAAGAUGCGCUGCGGUGUGCCGAUGCGGUGAGAAAUUAUUGCCUAAGAGCGCUUUGAGCUUAGUAUGUAGGGCAGGGCUCGGGCGGGGUAUGGGAGUUGAAGGGGGAUAGAGGUUGGAGGUAAGGGAAUAGGAGAGAGGGCGCCGCGCGGGCUACUAUCCUCCCCCUGCGGUAUUCUGGAGGGUCUAGGAGCUGUGUGUCGCGGCUACGUUGUCCCGCUUGUGGUCUCGCCGGUCUGUGCCGGGCACCUGCAGUGGUGGCACCUCGGGCUUGUGCGUGGUCUCUUUCCUUUGGUUUGGUUACUUCUCGCCUGGACCAGCCCAGGAAGGGACAGGUAGAGGAGGU
RNAcentral lists this long non-coding RNA (10842 nucleotides) under Volvox carteri. RNAcentral's name for it is "long non-coding RNA (VCAR_LNC000920)". Lineage: Eukaryota; Viridiplantae; Chlorophyta; Chlorophyceae; Chlamydomonadales; Volvocaceae. The record is from RNAcentral.